This 690-nucleotide long non-coding RNA is filed under the name Pandoravirus dulcis. Its description in RNAcentral is "putative ncRNA". The record is from RNAcentral.
CGACAGCCACGUCGCCAUGACGCCCAGGUGGUUGCCGGCCCGGUCGCGCGCGCGCACGCACCACGCGCGCGCCCUCUGCGGUCGUCGCAUAGCCGUGUCGUCGCUGAAAAACGGCACACUCUCGUCGCCGUCGGUGCCGUCGACGGCAUAGGGCCAAUCGUCGCUGCCCGUGCGUCUGACAUUGUCGUCGGGCCAGCGUGAUAGAAUACGCGCGCGGCCGCGUAAUAAGGGCGACGCCAUCCCGACGGUCUCUCUUGCGCGUGCCCGUGAGAUGCGCUCUCUGUCCGUCUCUUUUUUUUUCCCUACUCCUCGCACCAAAACCCAACGGCGCAGUGAGCGAGCGCGCGCGUACGAUCGGGGUCGAGGUCUCGUCGCCCGUCUUUUUUUCCCUUGAACACGCGACCGCUCGCGUGUCGCCACCGCGCGAGCGGCCCGCAGCGAUGGCAGCGCCCGCCGUCAGAGGAAAAAAAACUGUCUGUGCGGCCCCCGGUCUGUGCUGCAACAAAAGAUUAAAAAAGAUAAACAUAUGUUCAUCUUUUUUAAUCUUUUUUUCUCUUUGUUUCCCUCUUUUUCUUUCGUCGCGUGAGCCCUCUGCCCGUCUCGCGCGGCCGGGGGCGCCACCGUCAGCACUGCAAAAAAAGUGCAUUUUCGCGAUGACCCUUCUUUUUUUUUGAAAAAGACAAUCAGGCC